GACGAACGCUGGCGGCGUGCCUAAUACAUGCAAGUCGAACGCUUCUUUCCUCCCGAGUGCUUGCACUCAAUUGGAAAGAGGAGUGGCGGACGGGUGAGUAACACGUGGGUAACCUACCCAUCAGAGGGGGAUAACACUUGGUAACAGGUGCUAAUACCGCAUAACAGUUUAUGCCGCAUGGCAUAAGAGUGUAAGGCGCUUUCGGGUGUCGUUGAUGGAUGGACCCGCGGUGCAUUAGCUAGUUGGUGAGGUAACGGCUCACCAAGGCCACGAUGCAUAGCCGACCUGAGAGGGUGAUCGGCCACACUGGGACUGAGACACGGCCCAGACUCCUACGGGAGGCAGCAGUAGGGAAUCUUCGGCAAUGGACGAAAGUCUGACCGAGCAACGCCGCGUGAGUGAAGAAGGUUUUCGGAUCGUAAAACUCUGUUGUUAGAGAAGAACAAGGACGUUAGUAACUGAACGUCCCCUGACGGUAUCUAACCAGAAAGCCACGGCUAACUACGUG
RNAcentral lists this ribosomal RNA (508 nucleotides) under uncultured bacterium. RNAcentral describes it as "partial 16S ribosomal RNA". It matches the Rfam family "Bacterial small subunit ribosomal RNA", at positions 28 to 507 of the family's 1533-position model. The record is from RNAcentral.